Clupea harengus (Atlantic herring) is the source of this 3844-nucleotide long non-coding RNA. RefSeq lists it as uncharacterized. The record is from RefSeq and is a predicted model, not a curated record. NCBI's taxonomy places the organism in Eukaryota, Metazoa, Chordata, Actinopteri, Clupeiformes, Clupeidae.
CUUUAAUGGUGAGAUACAAUGAUCAAGUUUUAAAUAAAGACGUCUCUGGAGAAAGAAAAUGGAAGUUUAACUAAGGAUUCUCUCACGCUGAUUAAGGGUUGUGUGACAGUCUGCAGAGCCACUACCCUGCCCUGCCUCUGUGCUCAACAGUAGUCUUUAAUAGUGAGAGAUGGCUCUUUCAGUCACUCCACCCGGCCAAUGGGAAGCCGCUAGCCCCGGGCUGCAGGGGAUCAGCCAAUGGGGUGAGCUCUAGCCCAGUCACCUGACAAAAUCUGCUCCUGUCCAUCAGCAUAGUCGUAUAUAGUUCAUUACAAGACACAGACAGGGCUGUUUGGAGUGUGGUGCGGUGGAGUACUCUUUGUGCCUUCAGUGUGCUUUGUGUGUGUGUCUGUAUGUGUGUGUGUGUGUGUCCUCGACUGCAGGAGACUUAAGUAUGAGAGCAUGACAGAGGAAGAAAAGAGGGAAAGAGAGAGACAGAGAGAAAGAAAAAGAUUGAAAGACAGAGACAGAAAGAAAACAUCCCGUCCAACUCCUCAGUCAGCAUACGCUCGUCGGAACUUCUGAUUUCUACAUGGUUAUGGAGCCUACUUUUUUAUUUUUCCUUUAUAUAAUUUUUUUUAAAGUUUAUUACUUUUUUAGAUUCACUUGAAGAAAGAACAACCAAAAAAGAUUUCAGUGACUUUACUGAGGCAUUUUGUGCGCUCUCACAGAGGACUGCUCACAGGAAGCCGAGACUGGGGUUCAACUCAGGGUAACGGGAGCAGUGCAGCACAAAAGCUCCAAAAUCCCUGAAUGAUUCACCGCGCAGCUCCCCGCAAACACGCUUUUGCCAUCAGGCUGGCUGGGUAAUUGGCUCUCAGAGUGGGGGAGCAGGGGGUCUUGCCGCUGUCUCCUCCCCCAACCCCCCCCCCCCCCUGGUGAGCUGAGAGCUUUGGUAAGAUGUGGGUCGAUGGGUACACUAUGCAUUUUUUAGAUGAUCGGUGGUCGGAAUGUUGUCAGAUGCUCUCAGUGUCUUCUAUGGCAUCCUGUUCAAGGUGGAGUGUAUACAUAUACAGUACACGUCCAUCUGACUUUCAUUUUCCUUAAAUGUUCUUUCCUUGUUCUAUCAAUCAUAAUUGCAAAAUGACCACAAACGGAGACCCAACAGAGCCUUCAAGUCAGUGCUGAAUGAAAGUUGAGCAGAGGCACUAGGCACUAAAAUUCAGCUUUUUAUUAACAAUUUUUUUAUAAGCACAUGAACCUGUUUGAGUUGAAUUAUCUGGCGCCUUCGGUGAACAUUCAACGCUGUCGGUGAGUUUGAGCCUUUGAUAUAAACCAUCGACCGUUGACUGUACCCCGAGGGGGCUGCCGUCUCUUCUCCUCCCGGCGAGGCAGGAAGCAGCCGGUGAACAUGAAGUCUCGUAGAGGCAGCCAUCUCGAGAGACCCGCCGCUGAGUCAGUUUGGGGUUUCACAAAGCUGCCAUAAUGGCUGCAAUAAACAUUCAUUGCUGUCGGUGGGUUUCCCAUGGAUACAACUCACCGGUCAAUGAAUGCAAACUGCGGUGCUAACACCACAGGGCUUCCUCCAGAUCAGAUGGUGACUACGCUGGAAAACUGAUAAGUGGGAAAAUGGGGCUCCCACACUCUCCCCACCUCCAACCCUGAUGAUGGAGUCAGCACCAAAUUAUUGCUGUUGUGGAGGAGGGAGUAUCCUGGACUCCCCUGACUUCAAGAUAAGGUAAAUACAACUUCCAGUCGUAAUGAUUUACUUCAGUUGUUGUUCUAGUUAAUCCUGGGCACUGACCCGAGAACAGCCCAAUAGUCCCGUACUGCUGUUUAAAGUGCUUUGCUUUCUCAUUUCAAGCCUCAUUGUGUGAUUACUUCUAUGAAACCAUAAUGAUUCCAGGCCAUGUUCAGGACAGUAAAAAAGCACUUCUGUGAAAAUCUACAAUCAUUUACAGUUACUGUGCUCUGUGUCAAUUAUAGUCUAUUCAAAGCAAUGGCUGAUUUUGUUUCACAAGCAAGUCAGACGAGGGAUCCACAAAACAUUGUGAAAAUAUGCGUUUAUUUACAGCAUAACUAAUGUCACUUUGUUAUGUUUGACCCACUACGGCACUGUCUAUUUAGUCUUAGUCUUCCUGCCAUGUACAAAUGCAGGCCCUGGACUCCGAUUGGAACUUUCAUGUCAUUAAAAUCAUUAUUUGUUUAGAUGAAAUAAAUCAGAAGAUGGGAGUUUACUGGCAAAUAAGUGUCACCACCGUCCUGAAAGGGAGAGAAAAUAUUUAUUUCCCCAUAUUUGUCCAUCACCAAGCACACGGUCACACUCCCUACUGUGGUUUUCUCCCCUCAGACACCAUGACGCAUUUAGAAUCAAAACAAAAAGUCAUGUGGAAAUGUUCUCACCAAACCCAUAAAUGAACCAAACGGAUUGGAUGUGCUGCAGUCGAGCUAAAAGAGUUCAGCAGCUGAACCCCUUGACUCUGCUCUGCUGUAGAUGUGUGUUUUCAACAUGGUGAAGAGCGCCCCAUGCCUUCAUGCUGAUAGGCCUGUAAAUGGCCGUGGAUGUUGAAAUGAAAGCAGGCUUUGCCCUGGAAACACAGAUGUGAUCAUUUAAUGGACCUUGACCUGGGAGCCUGGCAGAGCACCAGAUUACUGAUGUUACAGAUAACACCGUUUGUAGUGCUCGCACUAGUCCAAUUACCAUGAGCUUGUGUCCUAAAGGUGAAAUGUGACUUUUUUUCAGUGGUAUGUGAGUGUGUGAGAAUGUGUUUUUCAAACUAGUGAUUCUGACCCCACUCUGUAAGCUACAAAUCUCCAGAAACCAUACAGAGUGUUCACGCUAUCAUUAUACUAAAAUAACAGCUCCUAAAAUAGAUCUUGACUCAGCAAAAACAUCCUGCUUUAGAGAAAUGAGUCAUCUGAAGCUGAGCUACCACCUUCUCUGAAUGGGUAGUUUUUUCUUUUCAGUUUCACUUGAUUUUGACCUCCACAAAUGAAAUGUGAAACAAUCAGCUCAGUCAGUGCCUGAAAAGACCAUUUCCCUUCUUUUUUUUCUUUUGUCGAGCCAGAGCUGAUAGAAUCAUCUGGAAACAAUCCCGCGGUAAUUGCCCUGUAAAGUUUUCUUAGCAUGCUGGGAAAUUUCAGACAUUGACAUUUUCCAGUCAGUCUAAACCAAGGCCCUCUCUCUCUCACCCACCCACCAACCUUUAUCCAGGCCCUUUCGUAUCAAUGGUAAGUGUCAUACAUAAAACAAGCACCUGGCUAUGUUUCUGUAUAUGCAUGGACAGCAUAAAAAGACCUUCACACAGAACACUCCUCCUUAGUCAUAUGUUACUUUAAUGCCUACACUUUUGAACUUACUUAACAUAGAAGGCUGCAUGAAGAUACCCCAUUGUCAACUCCAUUAGCGAACAGAAUAUAAACAGAAAUUAUUUUGGUCAGAUAAUUCCUCUGAUGUGAGUUUAAGAGUCAGCAAUUUAACCAUGUAAAAGUUUACAGCAUUUGGGAUGUGCAAUGUAGCUAGAGGAACAUCCAUACGUAAUGCACAGUAGCACAGUUUAGCAUCCUCUGUCAUUAGCUACACUGAUGUUACAGGAACUGACAAGAGGAACAAUCUGACCCAUUUCUGCAUGACCUGGAAACAUUCCAACGCUGUGACCCCUCCAGUCAAACACAGGCGCAAGGUGCUCCAAGCAAAAGAGGAAAACAACAAAUGAGAUAACUUAGAAACCAUGAAGUGGAACAAAGAACUGCAUAUACACAUAUUCAAAGGUGAAAAAUAUAGAAACUGAAAAAAAUACUAUACUGUACUGAAAAAAACACACAAGUGCUUAAUAAAAAUGUGCAAUAUCCAAAUUACUAUUAA